GCCCAGAGACGGUCCUAUGACCUUUGGGUGCCUGAAUCAGACAGUCCAAUUGAUACCUACUUCUUCCCUUCCCCAUCAGCAUGGUGUCUUUCUCUACUACAACUCCCAUCAGCCCCUGGAAGAGAGAGAUUGAGAGAGGCCCACUGCUGGGCUUGCAUACCCUAGCUGUCCGCUCUAAGGUGGCCUCAGGUUGCCAUGGCACAAGCCAACAAAGGUAAGGCAGCAGGGAGGGGACAAUGAUGGCAACACGGUGAGGGGUAAUCUUCUCUGUAUCGUUCCAAUUUUAGUAUGUGUGCUGUCGGAGCGAGUACUUUUUUGGGGGGGUGUCCCAAUUUGCCCUCCUGAGAUGUUGGAGGGUAUCCUUUUAAAUGCCUACUGAAAGAUAUGCUGACAUGCCAAUGCAGGUCAUUAAAAAUACAUCUUUCCGCAAUAGCUAACUGAUGUCCCAUCAGGGGAAAAGGCAUGGUAUAAAUAAAUAUAUAAGAAUUAUAAUAAUUAGUGUCUAGUUUUAAUUUUUAAUGGUUUUUUUCUGUAUGGUCUUAUGUAGUAUUGUACACUGCUUUGAUAUUUUUCUAUGAAAUAGGGGUAUAUAAGGGGUUUUUUUUAUAAAUAAAUAAACUCAAUCAUUCCAUCAGGAUGUAGCAGAGAGAGAGAAUGAGAAUGGAAGCAGGAUGGCUCCAUCAGCUCUGCUGAGAGAGCAACCACUUUUGCCUCCUCCUCUUCUUGUACCGUUUCCGCUCCAGCUAGUUGUUGAAAGAUCUUUGCGACAAAGAUCUAUCAUAAUAAGUUCUUCAUUACAAAGAAUUAUUCCUUGCCCUGUGCCUAGUGGUAGGUUUGUCCCUCUAGAGACAGACCGUUAAUACAAUUCUGGUGAGAAUUAACAGAAUUAUUCCACACUCUGCCUAGUGGUAGGACUGCCCCACUAGAGAUAGUCAGUCACUGCAAUUCUGGUGGGUAUUAUUUUGAGAGGUACGGGAAACAAUCUCCCUCCAGGGAUUAAAAAUUUAUCUCAUCUAUGGGCUUUCAGCAUGCACGUCUCAGAAUUCCCAUGAUGAGAAGUGCUUAAAAGUUUACGGCCCUGUGUGCUUUUAUGUCAUCAUUCAAAGCAAGGCUGACAUAUCCGUAUAACUGUACUGUUACUACCUUGUUAAGAAACUGUCACCCAAACAAAAAUAUUCAUUUGCUGUAUUUGAAGUGCAGCUUUUCAGUGCCUGUAUUCAUUAGAGUAAGACUUUGAUGUCCCAGAUCUGAAAGAAACAGCAGAGAUGUGAUCAGGGGGUGGAAAAGCAGGGUGGGUGGGGGAGACGACACCUACAGAGCUUGUGGCCUUUAAUGAGCGAAAAGCUGGAUGUCAGGAAAGCAAAUCUCACCAUCUUUGACAAUGAGUUCAGGGGGGACUUUGUGCUAAGAAGCCUGGUAGAAGGACCAGGGAACUUAGCCCUCCACCACAGAUACAGGCAAAUUUACUGCACAGUAAAAUAGGUUGGAGCAUUCCUCAUACAUAAUUAACCUGGCCUACUUUCCUGCUUGCAAACAAUCUGCGAGUCUUUAUUCCUGAGAAUGUGUUGGAUAUGCUGUCAGGGAUUUGUUUUCAGAUUACAAGUUACUCUGCAUUCGUUCACUUUUGUGCCUUGGCGUCAACCCACAAAUGUCCACUGGCUUCAGGAGGGGAAUUUCAACCAGCUUGCAUCCACAAACACCAGCUUGCUUCAGUCUUGAGGCAUCUUCUAACUUGCAAAUGUGAACCACCAGCUUCUACCCACCAACAUUCACUAGACUAGACCGUGGAGAUCAGCCACCUUCAAGCCAUGAUCCUGCUCAGCAAAUGAAUCUGCCUUAUUAUCCCACAGCCAGAUGAUCUCUGUCCACCUGCCAUUUUGCCUCCUCCAAGUAGAAGACUGGCCUAUGCUGACUGUCCCAGCUAUUGGCCACUGUAUU
This 1938-nucleotide long non-coding RNA is filed under the name Podarcis lilfordi (Lilford's wall lizard). Lineage: Eukaryota; Metazoa; Chordata; Lepidosauria; Squamata; Lacertidae. The record is from RNAcentral.